AUAUUCUAUAUUGUGCAUUAGAUGAUAGUGAACUUAAUAGCAUAUCUUUUUGCAUAACUGCUAAGGAAAUCUGGAAUAUGCUUGAAGGUAAAUAUGAAUGCACUAACAUUUUUAGUGAAUCUGAAACUAGCUCUGAAGAAGAAGAGCAGCAAACUGAAAUUAAAAAUCCUUGCUUUAUGGCAUAUGAAGAUAAUGUAUGUAUUGGAACACAAAGUGAUUUCUCAUUCCAAGAUAAAGUACAUGCUGAAACUCAAUCUGAUUUUACAUUUGAUGAACUUCAUGAUGCUUUUUCUGAUCUAUACUUAGAAUAUAAGAAGCUUAGUUUAAAGAAUAAAAAGCUAAAUCAGAAAAAUCUAUCUCUUGCUGAAAGCUAUGAUAUAACUCAGAAAAAUAAUAAAUUACUUUCAGAAGACAAUGAAAGG
This 422-nucleotide long non-coding RNA is filed under the name Phoenix dactylifera (date palm). RNAcentral describes it as "long non-coding RNA (PDAC_LNC009179)". The record is from RNAcentral. Lineage: Eukaryota; Viridiplantae; Streptophyta; Magnoliopsida; Arecales; Arecaceae.